UCGAGCGGACAGAUGGGAGCUUGCUCCCUGAUGUUAGCGGCGGACGGGUGAGUAACACGUGGGUAACCUGCCUGUAAGACUGGGAUAACUCCGGGAAACCGGGGCUAAUACCGGAUGCUUGUUUGAACCGCAUGGUUCAAACAUAAAAGGUGGCUUCGGCUACCACUUACAGAUGGACCCGCGGCGCAUUAGCUAGUUGGUGAGGUAAUGGCUCACCAAGGCAACGAUGCGUAGCCGACCUGAGAGGGUGAUCGGCCACACUGGGACUGAGACACGGCCCAGACUCCUACGGGAGGCAGCAGUAGGGAAUCUUCCGCAAUGGACGAAAGUCUGACGGAGCAACGCCGCGUGAGUGAUGAAGGUUUUCGGAUCGUAAAGCUCUGUUGUUAGGGAAGAACAAGUACCGUUCGAAUAGGGCGGUACCUUGACGGUACCUAACCAGAAAGCCACGGCUAACUACGUGCCAGCAGCCGCGGUAAUACGUAGGUGGCAAGCGUUGUCCGGAAUUAUUGGGCGUAAAGGGCUCGCAGGCGGUUUCUUAAGUCUGAUGUGAAAGCCCCCGGCUCAACCGGGGAGGGUCAUUGGAAACUGGGGAACUUGAGUGCAGAAGAGGAGAGUGGAAUUUCCACGUGUAGCGGUGAAAUGCGUAGAGAUGUGGAGGAACACCAGUGGCGAAGGCGACUCUCUGGUCUGUAACUGACGCUGAGGAGCGAAAGCGUGGGGAGCGAACAGGAUUAGAUACCCUGGUAGUCCACGCCGUAAACGAUGAGUGCUAAGUGUUAGGGGGUUUCCGCCCCUUAGUGCUGCAGCUAACGCAUUAAGCACUCCGCCUGGGGAGUACGGUCGCAAGACUGAAACUCAAAGGAAUUGACGGGGGCCCGCACAAGCGGUGGAGCAUGUGGUUUAAUUUGAAGCAACGCGAAGAACCUUACCAGGUCUUGACAUCCUCUGACAAUCCUAGAGAUAGGACGUCCCCUUCGGGGGCAGAGUGACAGGUGGUGCAUGGUUGUCGUCAGCUCGUGUCGUGAGAUGUUGGGUUAAGUCCCGCAACGAGCGCAACCCUUGAUCUUAGUUGCCAGCAUUCAGUUGGGCACUCUAAGGUGACUGCCGGUGACAAACCGGAGGAAGGUGGGGAUGACGUCAAAUCAUCAUGCCCCUUAUGACCUGGGCUACACACGUGCUACAAUGGACAGAACAAAGGGCAGCGAAACCGCGAGGUUAAGCCAAUCCCACAAAUCUGUUCUCAGUUCGGAUCGCAGUCUGCAACUCGACUGCGUGAAGCUGGAAUCGCUAGUAAUCGCGGAUCAGCAUGCCGCGGUGAAUACGUUCCCGGGCCUUGUACACACCGCCCGUCACACCACGAGAGUUUGUAACACCCGAAGUCGGUGAGGUAACCUUUUAGGAGCCAGCCGCCGAAGGUGGGACAG
This 1427-nucleotide ribosomal RNA is filed under the name Bacillus subtilis. RNAcentral's name for it is "bacterial SSU rRNA". It matches the Rfam family "Bacterial small subunit ribosomal RNA". Lineage: Bacteria; Bacillati; Bacillota; Bacilli; Caryophanales; Bacillaceae. The record is from RNAcentral.